This 78-nucleotide microRNA precursor is filed under the name Salmo salar (Atlantic salmon). RNAcentral's name for it is "mir-103/107 microRNA precursor family". It matches the Rfam family "mir-103/107 microRNA precursor family". From Rfam's summary of the family: This family consists of the mammalian microRNA (miRNA) precursors mir-103 and mir107. Animal miRNAs are transcribed as ~70nt precursors and subsequently processed by the Dicer enzyme to give a ~22nt product. In this case the mature sequence comes from the 3' arm of the precursor. RNAcentral also lists the same sequence under 1 other name. Lineage: Eukaryota; Metazoa; Chordata; Actinopteri; Salmoniformes; Salmonidae. The record is from Rfam by way of RNAcentral.
GUACGAUUUCAGCUACUUUACAGAGUUGCCUUGUGGCAUGGUGAUCAAGCAGCAUUGUACAGGGCUAUCAAAGAGCAC